Molecule: ribosomal RNA, 112 nt
Filed under: Pogona vitticeps (central bearded dragon)
Lineage: Eukaryota; Metazoa; Chordata; Lepidosauria; Squamata; Agamidae
Source: RNAcentral
CACACACACAAUAUUACCAUAAGCAUCUUGUCUGAUUUUGGAAGCUAAGCAAUAUCAAUCUUGGUUAAUACUUGGAUGGGAGACCAUUAAGAAAUAUCUGGGGUCUCUUUGU